UGGCUUUACCGAGACGGUGCGCUAACCCGCAAGGGAGGCAGCCGGCCACGUAAGUCAGCGACUGGGGUGAAGUCGUAACAAGGUAGCCGUAGUGAACCUGCAGAAGGAUCA
This 111-nucleotide ribosomal RNA is filed under the name uncultured eukaryote. RNAcentral describes it as "partial small subunit ribosomal RNA". The record is from RNAcentral.